UACGUAGGGUGCAAGCGUUACUCGGAUUUAUUGGGCGUAAAGCGCAUGUAGGUGGUUUUGUAAGUCUGAUGUGAAAGCCCUGGACUCAAUUCAGGAACUGCAUUGGAUACUGCAAGACUAGAGUAUGGGAGAGGUAGGCGGAAUUCUUGGUGUAGAGGUGAAAUUCGUAGAUAUCAAGAGGAACAACAGAAGCGAAGGCGGCUUACUGGACCAUAACUGACACUGAGAUGCGACAGUGUGGGUAGCAAACAGG
Molecule: ribosomal RNA, 253 nt
Filed under: uncultured bacterium
Lineage: Bacteria
Description: partial 16S ribosomal RNA
Rfam family: Bacterial small subunit ribosomal RNA
Source: RNAcentral